CUUCCUCCUCUUCCCCUUCUUCCUCUGCUUCUUCUUUUUCCUCCCCCUCUUCUUCCUCCGCUUCCUCCACCUCUUCCUCUUCCUCUUCUUCCUCCUUUCCUCCUCGCCUUCCUCUUCCUCCUCUUCUUUCUCCCCUUCUUCCACUUCCUCGUCUUCCUCCUUCCCUUCUUUCUCCUUUUCCUCUUCCUCUUCCACUUCCUCCUCUUCCUCUUCUUCUUUCUCCCCUUCUUCCACUUCCUCCACCUCUUUCUCUUCCACUUCUCCCUCCUUUCCUCCUCUCCUUCCUCAUCUUCCUCUCCUUCUUUCUCCUCUUCCUCCUUCUUCCUCUUCCUCCUUCCUCCUCUUCCUCCUUCCUCCUCUUCCUCCUUCCUCCUCUUCCUCCUUCCUCCUCUUCCUCCUUCCUCCUCUUCUUCUCUUCUUUCUCCUUCCUCUUCUUCCUCCUUCAACCUGAGCUUCCUCUUCCUCCUUCUUCCUUCUCUUCCCCCUCCUUCAACCUCACCUUCCUCUUCCUCCUUCCUCCUCCUCUUCCUCCUCCUUCCUCUUUUUUCUCUUCCUCUUCCUCCUUCUUCCUCCUCUUCCCCCUCCCUCAACCUCAACUUCCUCUUCCUCCUCCCAUUUCCUCCUCCUCGCCCAACACNNNNNNNNNNNNNNNNNNNNCCACCGUUACCCCAUGUGGGAGGGGGGAGGUUGGCAUUAAUUAGCGCGGCCUCGUUAACGAAGGCCCUGUUUGUGGGAGGGGAGGGGCUGUAAAUAUUGCGCUGCCAAAAUGGAGAUUUUUUUUACACUGCUGUCGCUGCGUUGUUUUUGGGGUCGUUUGGGGGACAUUUGGGGGGACAUUGGGGGACAAUGGGGGAAAUUUGGGAUAUUAUGGGAUGUUAUGGGACAUUGGGGACAUUUUGGGGGGACAGUGGGGGAUAUUUGGGAUAUUAUGGGACAUUGGGGACAUUUUGGGGG
RNAcentral lists this long non-coding RNA (954 nucleotides) under Phasianus colchicus (ring-necked pheasant). RNAcentral's name for it is "lncRNA (ENSPCLG00000013310.1)". The record is from RNAcentral. Lineage: Eukaryota; Metazoa; Chordata; Aves; Galliformes; Phasianidae.